AUUGAACGCUGGCGGCAGGCCUAACACAUGCAAGUCGAGCGGCAGCGACUUAACUGAACCUUCGGGGAACGUUAAGGGCGGCGAGCGGCGGACGGGUGAGUAAUGCCUGGGAAUAUGCCCUGAUGUGGGGGAUAACUAUUGGAAACGAUAGCUAAUACCGCAUAAUCUCUUCGGAGCAAAGAGGGGGACCUUCGGGCCUCUCGCGUCAGGAUUAGCCCAGGUGGGAUUAGCUUGUUGGUGAGGUAAUGGCUCACCAAGGCGACGAUCCCUAGCUGGUCUGAGAGGAUGAUCAGCCACACUGGAACUGAGACACGGUCCAGACUCCUACGGGAGGCAGCAGUGGGGAAUAUUGCACAAUGGGGGAAACCCUGAUGCAGCCAUGCCGCGUGUGUGAAGAAGGCCUUCGGGUUGUAAAGCACUUUCAGUAGGGAGGAAGGUAGUGUAGUUAACACCUGCAUUAUUUGACGUUACCUACAGAAGAAGCACCGGCUAACUCCGUGCCAGCAGCCGCGGUAAUACGGAGGGUGCGAGCGUUAAUCGGAAUUACUGGGCGUAAAGCGCAUGCAGGCGGCCUGUUAAGUCAGAUGUGAAAGCCCGGGGCUUAACCUCGGAAUUGCAUUUGAAACUGGCAGGCUAGAGUCUUGUAGAGGGGGGUAGAAUUUCAGGUGUAGCGGUGAAAUGCGUAGAGAUCUGAAGGAAUACCAGUGGCGAAGGCGGCCCCCUGGACAAAGACUGACGCUCAGAUGCGAAAGCGUGGGGAGCAAACAGG
This 769-nucleotide ribosomal RNA is filed under the name uncultured bacterium. RNAcentral's name for it is "bacterial SSU rRNA". It matches the Rfam family "Bacterial small subunit ribosomal RNA", at positions 28 to 776 of the family's 1533-position model. The record is from RNAcentral.